This 301-nucleotide ribosomal RNA is filed under the name uncultured bacterium. RNAcentral describes it as "partial 16S ribosomal RNA". It matches the Rfam family "Bacterial small subunit ribosomal RNA", at positions 509 to 807 of the family's 1533-position model. The record is from RNAcentral.
CAGUAGCCGCGGUAAUACAGAGGGUGCGAGCGUUAAUCGGAUUUACUGGGCGUAAAGCGUGCGUAGGCGGCUUCUUAAGUCGGAUGUGAAAUCCCUGAGCUUAACUUAGGAAUUGCAUUCGAUACUGGGAAGCUAGAGUAUGGGAGAGGAUGGUAGAAUUCCAGGUGUAGCGGUGAAAUGCGUAGAGAUCUGGAGGAAUACCGAUGGCGAAGGCAGCCAUCUGGCCUAAUACUGACGCUGACGUACGAAAGCAUGGGGAGCAAACAGGAUUAGAUACCCCGGUAGUCCCUGUCUCUUAUAC